GUGACUUGCAGUCAGGCAUGCUCCUUUAUUUUAAAUCAGGUUGCUCUGUGUUUAACUUAUUUGCAAUGGCGUGAUUGUGCUUAUAUUGAUGUGUUACUGUGUAUAGCUUGUUGUGUGUAUAUGAUUUGUAGCCACCACAUCAAAGUAGUUAUCACCCUCAUGUUCCCACACAGCACCCUUCCCUUGUUCAGGGCAUGCUGCCUCCUUCUAAAAUUUGUAACACUUUGUUGAGUUGCUGUUCCUCUAGUACAGCCUGACAGAAAGUACUGCUGUGUUGAGGAGUUUUUAGAAAUUGUCAUGUGUUGGCGGGGGAAAUGUCACCUGCUGUUUUUCUUGUUGGAGUUUAUAGGUGAGUGGGAUUUAACUUGAAUUAGCAAAGGUAAGUCCACUGAUGUGUACUAUUUAAAGAAACAAGGAAAAACAAAUGGAGGGCCUACAGGUGCCAGACAGGGAGGUACAGCAGGGGCCAAGGGAGAGAAAGUCCCUCCCAGAGUUCACUCGUGCAUGUAAACACUUCUGAUAUGUUUCCUGUCCAAAGAAGUUGAGAGAAAGAAGAAAAGCAGGUCAGUGCUCCUAAGUCUGACCACUAAGCCAGCCUCGUUAGGAGAACCUGAGAGUCUCUUUCUACCCUCACUGAAGAGGACCCAUGGGAAUCCGAGCUCUCUGUGCUGGCUUCACCGACUGCUGCAAUUCUAAGAACGUUCUCUUUGACAAGUACAGCACCUGCUCAGUGCAGGCCUGUCUGUCUCCAGUUAGGAUAGACUAAGGGCCCCAACUUCCACAAUGUCCUGAUCUUACAGCAUAGGGCACAGUGAGCACCGGGAACAUCAGCACGGCACUAUUCUCCUGGAAAGUAAGUGUCUUGCUAGAGUCAAAGGGUUUGGCUCACUUAGGAAGACUCACAGAGUGAAAGAUGAGGAGAACCAAGUCCUCAAGUUGACCUCUGACCCCCACAUGCACACCAUGGCACACAAGUGCUCAGAGAGGGGGACAAAUAAACAGGGACACCUGCUGCUGCCCUGAACCUCCUGGGCCUAGCUGCACUAGAGCACCCCAGUAACUCACAAAGUUCUGCCCCCUGGACUAAGUGGAAUGAAACUGGCAAACAGAAGUUAGAGCUGUGUAAGCUCUCCCGAGUCUUCAGCAGAAAGAACACAUUUACAAUACAUAACCACCAGGGAAGCAGGAAAAGUCUCAAAGUUUAAGUAACAAAACUGAGGCAAAAGCCAGAGAAAUGGAGUUUGUCUGGAUCCUUCAGUAUUUCAUUUCCAAGGAAACUGACUGACAAAGGGACAAUGACUCAUCAUUUUUCCAUCCUUUCAAAAUGACUGUUACUGUAAGAAAAACAACAGAUCCCAAACCCUCCUAAUGAAGGGCUGGGAGGGUCUCUUCUCAGCCCGGGAUUCCUGUCUGGAAAGAAGUUACCGUUAGAAUUCUGCUGUCAUCACCUCUGUUGCCGCUGUAAGCCCACACUAACUGUCUGUGUUUGGAUUUUAGCCCCUGUAGCAGUACCUAUGUGUAAGUGCAUUUUCUUUUCAUCAAUCCGGUAGACUUAGGGAUCCCAAAAUGGGCAGAACGCUGUUCCUCAUGAUCUCGGUGGGAUGUUUCUAUUUACGACUACCUGCCCCAUCCUCUUACUAAGCAAUCUGUUAUGAAUCACUCGGUAGAAAGAUAAACACAUGAUAGAAAGGUUGAGAAAAAAAUCCCCCAAACGACAUUUUCCUAACAGCUUUUUUGGUAAAUUGAUUAUGUAAUUAUUUAUAUUUCAUGUGCAUUGGUGCUUUGCCUGCAUGUAUGUCUAUGUGAGGGUUCUGGAGAUACGAAUGGUUGUGAGCUUCCAUGUGGGUACUGGGAAUUGAACUUGGGUCCUCCAGAACAGUGUCACUGCUCUUAACCAUUGAGCCAUCUCUCCCGCGUGAAGACAGCUUUUCAUAAGAAAUAAAACUUCCCAUGCUAAGGAGGACAAUACAGCAGACACAGAGAUGGCUGGGUGGGGUACAGGGCACACUCAGAAGGAGGGAAGGAGGGGCUGAGUGCAGCCAGCUUGAGGUCUCUGACUGCUCUGCAGGAACCCUCCUACUGGCUGGGAAAAGGGAGCCAUGCACAGGGCAGCCAGUCACAUCAGAGCAGCCCCUGCCUUUAGAAAACGCCCUGCUCUCACCUUAGACAGCUUCCCUGGGGGAGGUCUGGUGCCCACAGGAGAGCAAUGGUUAGCUCUUGGGGGGAAAAACAAAAGGAGGAAAGAGCCUGUAGCCUUGUUUCAAAUAUUCUGCUAAUGUGUUUCUGUUUCAUGCCGUCCUGCCAGUUACUCCGUGCCUAUUGCUUUCAGAUCCAGGAAAUUCAUUCUGUUCCCAGGUGUCUCGGGGGGAGGAAAUCCCCCAAGGACAGCUUCCAGAUCCCAGGUGACAGAUCGUGGAGAGAAUAGGGACACCGUGUUGCAGUCAUGUCGCAGCGAGUCCUUUACACUGCUGCGCCAAAGUGAGUCUGGAAACAGAAUAAGAAGAGGGAGCCUGCGGAGGAGCACCUGCGAGCCUCCAAGGAGACAAGGAUCUCAAGUGCGAUUUGAAUGUGUACGGGAAGUCGUGUGUUGUGACCCUCCACAGCCACCGCCACCACCACCUUGCAAUACACAGGAAGCCCCACCCCCAAAGAAUGAUGAGUGCGCACCAAAGAAACAGGAAUGUGUCCAAACCUGUAUUCCUAUACCGGAACCCAUAAUGUGUCCAUGCCCCAUACCACCACCGUGUCCGUGUCCACCAGAACCCCAAUGCCAGGGGGGAGGACAGCAGCAGCAGCAGCAGCAACAAUCAGGACAGCAGCAGCAGCAGCAGCAGCAGCAGCAGAAGAAAUAGCCUGAGCAGGCAACGCCAGCACCUGUAGAGCAGACCUGUUCGUUUUCUGCUCUUCAGAAAUCUACCGUUACUAGACUUGCUCACCACUAAUUUCAUCUUCCAGAUAUCACUCCAUAAGAACAUUUAUACACACAUCAUCCAACGCAGGAAGACGGUGUUUUCUGAAAUAAAAUGUCUUUAUUAAAUAUCCAAUAAGUUCCCUUGGCAGUAUUCUAUCUCUAACUUAACCAGCUGACCUUAACAUUCUGAUGGUUGCAAAUGCUCUAUUAGACAUAAAUGUGUGUGUGUGUAUGUACUUAUAUUUACAUGAGAGAAAAAAUAAAAAUCAGAGUUCCUGCAACCAAGUAGUUUACAACAGAAA
Long non-coding RNA from Meriones unguiculatus (Mongolian gerbil), 3213 nucleotides. RefSeq lists it as uncharacterized. NCBI's taxonomy places the organism in Eukaryota, Metazoa, Chordata, Mammalia, Rodentia, Muridae. The record is from RefSeq and is a predicted model, not a curated record. The transcript has 3 exons.